RNAcentral lists this ribosomal RNA (489 nucleotides) under uncultured bacterium. RNAcentral's name for it is "partial 16S ribosomal RNA". It matches the Rfam family "Bacterial small subunit ribosomal RNA", at positions 29 to 507 of the family's 1533-position model. The record is from RNAcentral.
UUGAACGCUGGCGGCAUGCCUUACACAUGCACGUCGAACGGCAUCGCGGGAAAGCUUGCUUUCCUGGCGGCGAGUGGCGAACGGGUGAGUAACACAUCGGAACGUACCGGCUAGUGGGGGAUAACCCGUCGAAAGACGGGCUAAUACCGCAUACGCUCUUCGGAGGAAAGCAGGGGACCUUUGGGCCUUGCGCUAGCCGAGCGGCCGAUGUCCGAUUAGCUAGUUGGUGGGGUAAAGGCCUACCAAGGCGACGAUCGGUAGCGGGUCUGAGAGGACGAUCCGCCACACUGGGACUGAGACACGGCCCAGACUCCUACGGGAGGCAGCAGUGGGGAAUCUUGGACAAUGGGGGCAACCCUGAUCCAGCAAUGCCGCGUGGGUGAAGAAGGCCUUCGGGUUGUAAAGCCCUUUCGGCAGGGAAGAAAUCGGCGGGGCGAAUAACCCUGCUGGAUGACGGUACCUGCAGAAGAAGCACCGGCUAACUACGUG